This 764-nucleotide long non-coding RNA is filed under the name Phoenix dactylifera (date palm). RNAcentral describes it as "long non-coding RNA (PDAC_LNC003303)". The record is from RNAcentral. Lineage: Eukaryota; Viridiplantae; Streptophyta; Magnoliopsida; Arecales; Arecaceae.
CAUGGAGCUCUGCCUCCGGCCAGUAGACCAGAUCAUCACAAGAAUCCAUGCUCAAAGAUAGGAGAGAAGUAAGGUUCUUCCAAAACGCCAAAGGCUGUGGUGGUGAGAAAAUCCAAUUGCAGUGUCUAAUCUCCAAAUGAUGCAGGGACGAGCUCGGCCCUCUCGUCUCCUCCUCCAGCAAUGGUGCCAGAUCCUCCGAUGCGUUAAUAGAUAAUUUUUCAAGAGAUCUGAAAUACCUGAAUGACAUUUUCUUCUGAUCAGCAACAGGAGGUGACUUUGUACCAUUGCUCGUUUUAUAGACAUGAAUGCAAAGGGAAGAGAGUGUCGUCAGACUACAGAUCAAGCCCAACUGCUUAUUAGUUCCUUUUAUUUUUAAACUUUUGAGAGAUGGUAGCUCUGGCAUGGUCAUCAAAUUUGGGCAAUUAAUGAUCUUAAGCUCAGUAAGGUGAGGAAAAACCAACGUGACCUCUGCAGUUCCUUCAAACUCUGACCACUUCUCCAAGCUNNNNNNNNNNNNNNNNNNNNAUGAAUGCAAAGGGAAGAGAGUGUCGUCAGACUACAGAUCAAGCCCAACUGCUUAUUAGUUCCUUUUCAUUUUUAAACUUUUGAGAGAUGGUAGCUCUGGCAUGGUCAUCAAAUUUGGGCAAUUAAUGAUCUUAAGCUCAGUAAGGUGAGGAAAAACCAACGUGACCUCUGCAGUUCCUUCAAACUCUGACCACUUCUCCAAGCUCUGCAUCAUAUGCAACACAAGUCUUUUCAGUGAG